AGGAAGUUAACCUUUAAAGUGCUGGUGGCUUUUCCUCCCCCUUUUCCUCCUUUCAAAAGCACCGGCUUCUAAAAAGAAGUCUUCCAAAUCUCUCUUUGACACGACACACUCCCAACAAAUGUAACACAAUCGCUGGGUGUCGAUCCACGGAGCGAUCUGCGCGCUUAAGAGCUUUUCUUUUGUUCUCCUCCUCCUCCCUUGACUUUUAAACAGAGUUGGAAAUGAAACAGCAGAGAGAGGGAACCCACCAAAGCGAGACAGAAUGUCAUCUGACAACUCUACCAUUCUCUGUGAUGUGCAACUCUUCUCAGGGACCAGCCCUUACGACUUGCCUUGACCCUUCCACUUGCCAGAGGUAAAUGUGGAACAGCAGCUCCUCGGGAACGCGAUUCAGAAAGCUCUGGAAAACAAGUCAGCGGCAUUCAGAAGCAUUUAGCCUCUAUGUCUUUUCAAGGUCAAGCCUGAUGCUAUAUGUGCUUGGAAAUCACAUGCCUCGGUCAUAUUACAUGGCACUGUGAGGCGGUGAGACAAUGAAGCCAUGUGCGCAGGAACCACAGCAGCCUCGCGAUGUCACAGCGAUGAGGCAACCAAAGACGAUCAGCUCUCAUGAAUCAGACUGCUCCAAGAGGAGGCAGCACAGCUUGGUCUCCAGACGGUGAGCCAGGCGAGCGGAGAAGAGCUGGGGUUUCUGUCUGCUUUAUUUUGUGAUCUCUUCUUAUUUACAAAAUAAAAAAAUAAAAAAAUAGAAGGAAGCCAGAGAUGCAUUCUGCCCCCCACCCCCAUUUCACUCACUGAGAGAUUCAUUCUGAUGAUUUAUUUGUAUUGCAUCUAGAAUCCACUUUGCAGUCAUUAAUUAGUACCCAGGAACUAAUUAGUUCUCCAGGUAGGCAAGCUGAGUGGGCAACUUGUGUCAAGCCAGCCUGCGAUUGGCACAUAAUGUUCCAUGACCCUUAGCCAGGAAGGAGCCGUUCGUAGAGAAUAGCAUCAGAUAAAGAGCAAUAAGGAAAACAGAAUGGGAGAUCAAUGGUCUACUGAGCCCAUUUUCCUCAAUGACAGUAGCCUUAAUUUCUUGCCAGCAUUUGUCAGGUCACCCUGGCUUUUGUUGUGGAGCACAGUGAUAAAAAACCCAAAAUGAAAACAACUAUGUUAGUUCUGUGUCUUAGACAACAAUGUAUAAAAUGUGAAUCAGGGAGUGGAGCGGGAAUGAUGAUUGCGGCACCAUCAUUUUACACGGGGCUGCAAGCGAAAAGCAUGGAUCCCUGUCCCAAGGCACCUCCAGUCUGUAUUUCAACAGUGUGAGGACCCAUAUAGGGGGAGAAAGAGGCAAGAUAACAACAGAUGACUAUCAGUGGAUACAGUUAGAAUAAUUGAAUCAUAGAAUUGUAGAGUUGGAAGGCACCUCAAGGGUCAUCUAGUCUGACCCCCUGCAAUGCAGGAAUCUCAGCUAAAUCAUUCAUGACAGAUGGCCAUCCAACCUCUGCUUAGAAACCUCCAAGGAAGGAGAGUCCAUCACCUCCCGAGGGAGACCACUCCACUGUCAAACAACUCUUACUGUCAGAAAGUUUUUCCUGAUGUUUAGUCGGAAUCUCCUUUCUUUGUAACUUGAAGCCAUUGGUUCUAGUCCUACCCUCCAGAGCAGAAGAAAACAAAUUGUAUGUAGGUUGCCUACUCUUCCCUUUCCACCUUCCGCUUCUCAUGCAGACAUACUCCUUCCUGUGUGGGAAUCACUUUCCCAAAGAGGUCACCCAUGAAGUCAUGAUAUCAGUGGGAAUGCAACAGUCAUAUGAAUGGAGCUGAUUGCCUAUUCAGUAAUUUUCUUCCAGUUUCCUAUCCUCUCUCCUGGUAGGGUAGCUUUUGGUUGGAAUGAUCAGGUCUAAGUGGUUAUUGUAUCAAUAGUAUUAUAAGGAGAGAAAAAACCUGCUCCCUUUCCCUUAUGGGGUAUCCAUGAGCCUGUAUAGAGUCCUUAAGUAGGUUCUCUGUUGGUAGGAGAAAAUAACAGAGGCCAACCAGAGAAUACUGAGAAGCAAAGCAGCUAGUAAGCAUGAAACUGUUGCAACAGCAUCCCCUACUCACCCCAAGCAGGGAGGGAGGAGAGGAACCCAGAACAAUGGUGUGUAAGCUCUUAUAUAGACUUUUGAAAUUUCCUACCCUGUAGCUCAAGAUCAACCCCCAAAACAUCCUACAUACAUCACAGAAGGAGGUGGUCUGUAGCAGAAAUACAUCACGGGGGGGGGGGUCUACUACAGGAAUCCUGUCUUCCAGGAAACCUGACAAUGGUCAAUCAUUGCUCUAUCUCGCAGCCCGGCCAUUCUUUUGUGAUGAUAAAUGCUUUAAUUCCUGAAUCCAGGUCACAGGCUCACCCUAUUCAUACACACAUACGCCCUUAAGACAGGUAAGCAAAAGACAAUGAAGAGGCUUUCCCAUUUCCUUCCUCCUUGCAGAGAAAUAUUUGAGAUCAAUUUGGGAGAGUCAAAAUGGUUUCAGGAUUGCUCUCCUGUCCUAUUUCAGACACGUAGUUUAUAUACUUAUGUAUGUGUUUGCCUUGUAAAUUUAUUAACAUGUGAUUUUUAUGUAUAAGACCUUAGAAUUCAUAUACAGUGGUACCUUGGGUUAAGAACUUAAUUCGUUCUGGAGGUCUGUUCUUAACCUGAAACUGUUCUUAACCUGAAGCAGCACUUUAGCUAAUGGGGCCUCC
This is a long non-coding RNA of Podarcis raffonei (Aeolian wall lizard), 2695 nucleotides long. RefSeq lists it as uncharacterized. The record is from RefSeq and is a predicted model, not a curated record. The transcript is spliced from 4 exons. NCBI's taxonomy places the organism in Eukaryota, Metazoa, Chordata, Lepidosauria, Squamata, Lacertidae.